RNAcentral lists this ribosomal RNA (434 nucleotides) under uncultured bacterium. RNAcentral describes it as "partial 16S ribosomal RNA". It matches the Rfam family "Bacterial small subunit ribosomal RNA", at positions 29 to 507 of the family's 1533-position model. The record is from RNAcentral.
AGCGAACGCUGGCGGCAGGCCUAACACAUGCAAGUCGAACGAACCUUUCGGGGUUAGUGGCGGACGGGUGAGUAACACGUGGGAACGUGCCUUUAGGUUCGGAAUAACUCAGGGAAACUUGUGCUAAUACCGAAUGUGCCCUUCGGGGGAAAGAUUAAUCGCCUUUAGAGCGGCCCGCGUCUGAUUAGCUAGUUGGUUGAGGUAAUGGCUCACCCAGGCGACGAUCAGUAGCUGGUCUGAGAGGAUGAUCAGCCACAUUGGGACUGAGACACGGCCCAAACUCCUACGGGAGGCAGCAGUGGGGAAUCUUGCGCAAGGGGCGAAAGCCUGACGCAGCCAUGCCGCGUGAAUGAUGAAGGUCUUAGGAUUGUAAAAUUCUUUCACCGGGGACGAUAAUGACGGUACCCGGAGAAGAAGCCCCGGCUAACUUCGUG